AUACGGAGGGGGCGAGCGUUGUUCGGAAUUACUGGGCGUAAAGGGCGCGUAGGCGGCCGUGCAAGUCGAUCGUGGAAGCCCUCGGCUUAACCGAGGAAUUGCGUUCGAGACUGUGCGGCUUGAGUGUGGGAGAGGAGAGUGGAAUUCCCAGUGUAGCGGUGAAAUGCGUAGAUAUUGGGAGGAACACCGGUGGCGAAGGCGGCUCUCUGGAACACUACUGACGCUGAGGCGCGAAAGCGUGGGGAGCAAACAGGAUUAGAAACCCUAGUAGUCC
RNAcentral lists this ribosomal RNA (274 nucleotides) under uncultured bacterium. RNAcentral's name for it is "partial 16S ribosomal RNA". It matches the Rfam family "Bacterial small subunit ribosomal RNA", at positions 523 to 796 of the family's 1533-position model. The record is from RNAcentral.